AAGAUUAAUACAAGAUGGCAUCAUGAGUCCGCAUGUUCACAUGAUUAAAGGUAUUCCGGUAGACGAUGGGGAUGCGUUCCAUUAGAUAGUAGGCGGGGUAACGGCCCACCUAGUCUUCGAUGGAUAGGGGUUCUGAGAGGAAGGUCCCCCACAUUGGAACUGAGACACGGUCCAAACUCCUACGGGAGGCAGCAGUGAGGAAUAUUGGUCAAUGGGCGAGAGCCUGAACCAGCCAAGUAGCGUGAAGGAUGACUGCCCUAUGGGUUGUAAACUUCUUUUAUAAAGGAAUAAAGUCGGGUAUGCAUACCCGUUUGCAUGUACUUUAUGAAUAAGGAUCGGCUAACUCCGUGCCAGCAGCCGCGGUAAUACGGAGGAUCCGAGCGUUAUCCGGAUUUAUUGGGUUUAAAGGGAGCGUAGAUGGAUGUUUAAGUCAGUUGUGAAAGUUUGCGGCUCAACCGUAAAAUUGCAGUUGAUACUGGAUAUCUUGAGUGCAGUUGAGGCAGGCGGAAUUCGUGGUGUAGCGGUGAAAUGCUUAGAUAUCACGAAGAACUCCGAUUGCGAAGGCAGCCUGCUAAGCUGCAACUGACAUUGAGGCUCGAAAGUGUGGGUAUCAAACAGGAUUAGAUACCCUGGUAGUCCACACGGUAAACGAUGAAUACUCGCUGUUUGCGAUAUACGGCAAGCGGCCAAGCGAAAGCGUUAAGUAUUCCACCUGGGGAGUA
This 722-nucleotide ribosomal RNA is filed under the name uncultured bacterium. RNAcentral describes it as "bacterial SSU rRNA". It matches the Rfam family "Bacterial small subunit ribosomal RNA", at positions 159 to 882 of the family's 1533-position model. The record is from RNAcentral.